RNAcentral lists this ribosomal RNA (253 nucleotides) under uncultured bacterium. Its description in RNAcentral is "partial 16S ribosomal RNA". It matches the Rfam family "Bacterial small subunit ribosomal RNA", at positions 524 to 776 of the family's 1533-position model. The record is from RNAcentral.
UACAGAGGUCUCAAGCGUUGUUCGGAUUCAUUGGGCGUAAAGGGUGCGUAGGCGGCGCGAUAAGUCGGGUGUGAAAUCUCGGGGCUUAACUCCGAAACUGCAUUCGAUACUGCCGUGCUUGAGGACUGGAGAGGAGACUGGAAUUUACGGUGUAGCGGUGAAAUGCGUAGAUAUCGGAAGGAACACCAGUGGCGAAAGCGGCUUCCUGGUCCAGCACCGACGUUCAGGCACGAAAGCGUGGGGAGCAAACAGG